This is a long non-coding RNA of Haliaeetus leucocephalus (bald eagle), 279 nucleotides long. RefSeq lists it as uncharacterized. The record is from RefSeq and is a predicted model, not a curated record. The transcript is spliced from 3 exons. Lineage: Eukaryota; Metazoa; Chordata; Aves; Accipitriformes; Accipitridae.
GUUUUACAGUGGGGACAGUGAUGAAGAAAAUGAUCCUGGAGCAACUCAAGAGGUCUCUCCACUGCCUGGAAAUGCCCUGGAAGAUGGUUAUGAUGAUGUGACAGAAGCUCCUGGACCUAAAGAUGCUUCUCUUUCUGGGCAGAAUGAACAGGAAAUCAUUGGGAUCCCUCAAGAACAUGACAGAAACAAGGAUGCACGGACAGACUGGAGUCCUAAUGUGUCAGGAAGCAGGACUUCUGAGGCUGCGAGACAUUCAUCCCCUGCUCUUGAAGAUACGGG